ACAGGAUCAAUGCACUGGAUCUUCUCGGUGUGACAUGUUUACUCAUGCACCAUCUGAAGGAGCUUCCCUGGAGGCUCAGUGGCGAAGAAUCUCCCUGCCAAUACAGGAGACGCAGGUUCACUCUCUACAUCAGGAAGAUCCCCUGGAGAAGGAAAUGGCAAUCUGUUCCAGUAUUCUUGCCUGGGAAGUCUCAUGGACAGAGGAACCUGGUGGGCUACAGUCCAUGGGGUUGCAAAAGAGUUGGACAUGACUUAGGGACUAAACAGCAGCAAAAUAGGCAAGGCAUGGGAAGGCACUGUAAGAGAACUGAAGUACACUGUCAUUCCUGCCAUAACC
Long non-coding RNA from Bos taurus (domestic cattle), 336 nucleotides. Lineage: Eukaryota; Metazoa; Chordata; Mammalia; Artiodactyla; Bovidae. The record is from Ensembl.